CCCAGACUCCUACGGGAGGCAGCAGUGGGGAAUAUUGGGCAAUGGGCGCAAGCCUGACCCAGCAACGCCGCGUGAAGGAAGAAGGCUUUCGGGUUGUAAACUUCUUUUGUCAGGGACGAAGCAAGUGACGGUACCUGACGAAUAAGCCACGGCUAACUACGUGCCAGCAGCCGCGGUAAUACGUAGGUGGCAAGCGUUAUCCGGAUUUAUUGGGUGUAAAGGGCGUGUAGGCGGGAAUGCAAGUCAGAUGUGAAAACUAUGGGCUCAACCCAUAGCCUGCAUUUGAAACUGUAUUUCUUGAGUGCUGGAGAGGCAAUCGGAAUUCCGUGUGUAGCGGUGAAAUGCGUAGAUAUACGGAGGAACACCAGUGGCGAAGGCGGCCUGCUGGGCUUUUACUGACGCUGAGGCUCGAAAGCGUGGGGAGCAAACAGGAUUAGAUACCCUCGUA
RNAcentral lists this ribosomal RNA (448 nucleotides) under uncultured bacterium. RNAcentral's name for it is "bacterial SSU rRNA". It matches the Rfam family "Bacterial small subunit ribosomal RNA", at positions 330 to 792 of the family's 1533-position model. The record is from RNAcentral.